GACGAACGCUGGCGGCGUGCUUAACACAUGCAAGUCGAACGGAAAGGCCCUGCUUUUGUGGGGUGCUCGAGUGGCGAACGGGUGAGUAACACGUGAGUAACCUGCCCUUGACUUUGGGAUAACUUCAGGAAACUGGGGCUAAUACCGGAUAGGAGCUCCUGCUGCAUGGUGGGGGUUGGAAAGUUUCGGCGGUUGGGGAUGGACUCGCGGCUUAUCAGCUUGUUGGUGGGGUAGUGGCUUACCAAGGCUUUGACGGGUAGCCGGCCUGAGAGGGUGACCGGCCACAUUGGGACUGAGAUACGGCCCAGACUCCUACGGGAGGCAGCAGUGGGGAAUAUUGCACAAUGGGCGGAAGCCUGAUGCAGCAACGCCGCGUGCGGGAUGACGGCCUUCGGGUUGUAAACCGCUUUCGCCUGUGACGAAGCGUGAGUGACGGUAAUGGGUAAAGAAGCACCGGCUAACUACGUGCCAGCAGCCGCGGUGAUACGUAGGGUGCGAGCGUUGUCCGGAUUUAUUGGGCGUAAAGGGCUCGUAGGUGGUUGAUCGCGUCGGAAGUGUAAUCUUGGGACUUAACCCUGAGCGUGCUUUCGAUACGGGUUGACUUGAGGAAAAGGUAGGGGAGAAUGGAAUUCCUGGUGGAGCGGUGGAAUGCGCAGAUAUCAGGAGGAACACCAGUGGCGAAGGCGGUUCUCUGGGCCUUUCCUGACGCUGAGGAGCGAAAGCGUGGGGAGCGAACAGGCUUAGAUACCCUGGUAGUCCACGCUGUAAACGGUGGGUACUAGGUGUGGGGUCCAUUCCACGGGUUCCGUGCCGUAGCUAACGCUUUAAGUACCCCGCCUGGGGAGUACGGCCGCAAGGCUAAAACUCAAAGGAAUUGACGGGGCCCCGCACAAGCGGCGGAGCAUGCGGAUUAAUUCGAUGCAACGCGUAGAACCUUACCUGGGUUUGACAUGGAUCGGGAGUGCUCAGAGAUGGAUGUGCCUCUUUUGGGGUCGGUUCACAGGUGGUGCAUGGCUGUCGUCAGCUCGUGUCGUGAGAUGUUGGGUUAAGUCCCGCAACGAGCGCAACCCUUGUUCACUGUUGCCAGCACGUUAUGGUGGGGACUCAGUGGAGACCGCCGGGGUCAACUCGGAGGAAGGUGGGGAUGACGUCAAGUCAUCAUGCCCCUUAUGUCCAGGGCUUCACGCAUGCUACAAUGGCUGGUACAGAGAGUGGCGAGCCUGUGAGGGUGAGCGAAUCUCGGAAAGCCGGUCUCAGUUCGGAUUGGGGUCUGCAACUCGACCUCAUGAAGUCGGAGUCGCUAGUAAUCGCAGAUCAGCAACGCUGCGGUGAAUACGUUCCCGGG
This 1345-nucleotide ribosomal RNA is filed under the name uncultured bacterium. RNAcentral describes it as "16S ribosomal RNA". It matches the Rfam family "Bacterial small subunit ribosomal RNA", at positions 28 to 1378 of the family's 1533-position model. The record is from RNAcentral.